This 3313-nucleotide long non-coding RNA is filed under the name Sus scrofa (pig). RNAcentral's name for it is "lncRNA (ENSSSCG00060063065.1)". The record is from RNAcentral. Lineage: Eukaryota; Metazoa; Chordata; Mammalia; Artiodactyla; Suidae.
GGGAACUGCCAUACUGUUUUCCAUAACAGCUACACCAUUUUACCCUCCUCCCAACAGUUGACAAGGGUUCCCAUUUUCCGCUUCUUCACCAGUGCUUGUUUCUUUAUAGCAGCCUCCCUGAUGGGUAUGAAGGAUCUCAUGGUGGUUUUGCUUUGAACUCCCCUCAUAAUUAGUGGUGUUGAACAUCUUUCCAAAUGCUAGUUGGUCAUUUGUGUAUCAGCUUUGAAGAAAUGCCUCUUCAGGUCUUUUGCCCAUUACAAAAAAAACAAAACAGGUUUUUUGGGUUUUGAUUUGUGGGAGUUAUUUAUAUAUUCUGAUACUAACCCUUCAUUAGAUAAGUGGUUUACAAAAAUUGUUUCCAUUUCAGAGUUGCCUUUUCACUGUUGAUUGUGUCUUUUGAUGCUUUUAAUUUCGAUGUAAUUCAGUUUAUCUGUUUUUACUUUUGUUACCUGUGCUUUUGGUGUCAUGUCCAAGAAAAUGUUGCCAAAUCCAAUGUUAUGAAGUAUUUAUUGCUGCUCUUAAAAGUUCUUUAGUAGUCAGUCUCAUUUCUGUAAUUACUGUCUAGUCUAUUUUGCCACUUGGUUUAUCAGCUGCAUUUUUCUGCUUUGACCAUUUACUUACAUUGUAAAACAACCAUGUUGAUUUUUAUAAAGAUCAUGAAUUCUUUGUAGAGUUGGGAAGGGAAGCUUUUGCUGGUGAUUGUCAAACUUACUCUCAUUUUUUCUUAUCUUUGUUGUGUACAAAGCUAUCUCUUAUACAAAGACUAUUAAAAAUUUGAUGUGAUAAGUCUGAUAAUAUCUAAUGAGACUAUUGGGUUUGCUCCUAAUUACAUUUUUCUUUAGUAACUAAACAUGCAUGUCCUCCCCCAUUACACUGGGUGCUCUGCUCCGUUUACGGUGUUAGGAAUCCAACCCAGGAGCGUAUGUAAUUAAUUCCUUAACACUGGCAAAGGUGAAAUAUCAUACUUUUUUAAUUGAGUAAAUACUGUCAUUGCUGUUUUGUUCUAGAUCUGUCAAUAUUAGCUUAAUAAUUAUCUGCCUGAAUCUGUUUCUCAAAAUUUUAAUCUCUAGUUUUUGUUGUUUCUAAUCAAAUACAAUGAAUUGUAAUGACUGUCACUGUUCAUUAUGUUAUAAAAUGCUCCUUAUGUUCUGAAGUCAGAGUGGAAGCUGUGAUACUCCUCAGGGCAAGACUUCUGUCUCCUUGUUGGAACUGGAGCACACAUAAUGCGGUUAGUCUUUGGUUCAAGACAUAACAUGGCUCUUCUUUGUUGGUUCCUCGGUGUUUUUAAGAAUGUGGUGCACAUGCUGAAUCUUCUCUUCGGUGUAUAAACCAGGACUUUGGCCAGUUACUUACUCUGCCUGUGUCGUCGUCGCCGUCCCCACCUCCUCCCCAAGUCUCCCCGCUGCCUCCCCUGGGCCGGCGUAAUCAUGGCCCUGAAUGUAGGGUUAUCUUUUACUUGCUUUCUUUUCAUAUAACUUUGGAAAAAAAACUUACCUAAAUGUUUUUAAACUGUUUGUUUUCAUUUUAGUUGUUUUUAACUUUAUAGAAAAGGUAUUACAUCAUAUCGAAUCUUCUGAAGCUUUUCUCCUUUAUCAGUAUUAAGAUUCACUCUUGACCGUGUGUGUUCACUUGGAGUCUCUUGUGACUAUAACACGGUUAACUGAUGUUUCCCGCUGCUUCUCUUAUUUUAAGGGAAAUAGGUAAGUGAUUGGUGGACGCUCUUGUGAACAGAAUUAAAGCCUGACUGACAGGUCGGCACUACCAGUACCCCACCCACCCCCAGCUGGCUGUUUGCUGCCACACCUUUUUCUAUUCAUUUUUAUCUAUAUCUAAUAUAAAAACAUCCAUGUAAGUGGAAAAUACUGUUCUAGAUCAUACAUCUUUACUGACUUGCUUUUUCACUUAGCGAGGGGAGGGUCAGAGAGCACCCACAGGCUGCUGUUGUCGUGCUAAGCGGCUGCGUGGUGUUCUUUUUCUGGAACAGUCUGUGAGUUCUUUAGCUGUUCUGCUGCCGAUCAACGUUUACAUGCUUUCCAGUCCCUUUGGAUGCCGUGGAAUCAUCCUCAUACCCGCCCCGUAUGCACACACGUGGCUGUUUCUCUGGUACCAAGACGCAGAAUUGCUGGGUCACAGGCCGGGUCAGCGCUCAGCUCGCCCUGCGGGCCUCCGGCGUGGGCGUGGGGAUCGCAUCCCCGACUGCGAGUGUCUGUUUGUCCACCCCUCUUGGACACUCUGUGUAGCAAGCUCGAAAAUUUCUGCCUGCUUUGACGGGCGGCGUAUUCACAGUGAGCCACAGAGACUUCGGUGGGUGCAAUGGACUCUCGACAUCUGUGGGUUUAACAUUUGUGGACUCAAUGCUCAUAGGGAUCCCAGAGUCCAAGCCACAUAAUCAUUUUUAAUUUUCUCGAGGUGUGAUUUUUUUUUAAUUACUCAUGUUGUGAGGAUGCCCAGCCGAACACUCUGCAGCCACUGUCAAAGGGACCAAAACUUGGCAAAUUUAGGUCCUGAGGAGCUGAUGUUGGGAACUGCAGGCCCGGGACCUGUCCCACUAGCAUUAUUCUCUCCCCUCGGCCUCAGGUGAUGAGUGCAGUGUCCCCCUUUGUCUUGACAUGACAACUGUGUGACCCGCUAUCUGUAUGUCAGAGCAAGGCCCUGCCUCUGCCCUGUGCUGACUCCAAGGGCAAAGGCUCUUCUAAGUUUUUUAACUUAAAGGAGUAAAAAGCGUUUGCAGUAAUUCAGGCCCGGAGGAGAUGCUGGGACGUCUUUCUCUAACCCCGUCUCCCUCCCACAGAGGCGGGCCUUGGGCCAGUUAGUUGCUGGACUUUCUUUCUGGAGAAUUCUGCCGACGUGAUCUCUGCGGUCCUGCUGUCCCACGUGCGCUGUCUUGCCCUCUGGGUGGUUCAGUUAACAGCACAUGGCGGAGCUCGCUGUAUUCAGGGGCUGCCCGCGGCGCCUCGCUGUCUGCGUGGUGCUCCCUGUUCGAAUUCCCCAUUCCCAUUUCGCGGUACAGUUACAUGAUUUUUAGCAGUUUCCACUGUGUGUGAGGCUGUUCCGAGUGCCUGUCUCCUCCCUGGGUUUUACGUACGUGGCAGCGGUGUCUCUGGGGAACGUUUCCUUUGAGGGGUUUGGGCCACAGCCCUGGGCUUUUCUAACCUGGCCGGAGCCGCAGCUUACACUCCAGGGAGGCGGUUUGCUUGACAUUUCUGGCACCUUUACCAGCUCUGUGUUCUUGACCUUGGUUAUUUAAUGUCAAUAUGAGACGUGAAAGCAGUAUUUCACGUGCAGGUUUGAAGUGUGUAUUUCUAUCGGGAUG